Long non-coding RNA from Salvelinus namaycush (lake trout), 597 nucleotides. RefSeq lists it as uncharacterized. The transcript has 2 exons. Lineage: Eukaryota; Metazoa; Chordata; Actinopteri; Salmoniformes; Salmonidae. The record is from RefSeq and is a predicted model, not a curated record.
GCCCCGUGGAGGAGUAGGGUAUCCAAUUGAUGGGUGAAAAAUCAAAAUGUCUGGUUUUGUAGCCAGCACUUUCAGCCAGAGGUUUUCUAAGUGGAACUGAAGUCUCAACUGAUGGGGUUGCCAUGUCGUCAAAAAUUGAAAAGUGAUGCUAUUCCAGUGAAUUUCCCCUUCACUUCAAAGAGGAGGACAUCUGAUCAGCCAACAUCAGUGCAGCAGAAAAGAAGGCAAGCUGAGGGGACUUAGAGUACAUACAAAGCUUCUGCAAGAGGUCGAAGCAGUGGGUGGUGAAGAACAUUGCCACCGCGCCAAAGCCUGCUAAACCAAAUGUCAUUACCCAACACAAGAAGAGGUUCACCAGCUGAAGAACAUUCAGGACCCUGACUGGAACAUUCAGGCAACACAACGUACAUAUUCAGUGAGACUGAUGUUGUAGUAUAAUAUAGAAUGCCCAGUAUGCUCACAACUGCAUUGUGGUAUAGAUAUUUCUAGCUCUUGUACAUAUGUAUAUAAUGGUGUUAUAUAAUAUUUUUGAAUGUAUUAGAUUCAGUGAGUAAACAAUUCCAGGUGCAUCAGAAACCAAUAAAGUGUUGACUUCAA